AUGCGCCCCCCGGGAGCUGCGACGAUGCCGGCCCAUCUGAUCCCUCGGCACCAAUACGCCAUUGUGGGCUGGGGGAACCAGCUAGAGAAGCCGAGCGGGGGGCGCCGGCUGCCUCUGCUGAGACCGCCGCACAAUCCCUCCCUCGGACCCUCCAGAGCUGCUAUGGGAAGCCGGCCCACGAGGGCGAGCGGCAGCCCCAUGAUCCUGCCCCUGCUCUGGCUCUUUGUGCUCCUCAAGAAUGCUACACCCUUCCAUGUCACUGUCCAAGAAGAUAAUAGCAUUGUGGUCUCCCUGGAAGCUUCAGAUGUUGUGAGUUCAUCAUCUGUAUAUGUUGUGAAGAUAACUGGUGAAUCUAAGAAUUAUUUCUUCCAGUUUGAAGAAUUUAACAGCACACUGCCUGCUCCUGUGGUCUUCAAUGCCAGUUACCAUGGUCUUUAUUACAUAAUCACUUUGGUGGUAGUGAAUGCAAAUGUAGUGAUCAAACCAGCCAGAUCAAUCACUGUGUUAACAAAGCCUCUUCCUGUCACCAGCGUUUCUAUUUAUGACUAUAAGCCUUCUCCUGAAACAGGAGUCCUAUUUGAAAUUCAUUAUCCAGAAAAGUACAAUGUUUUUACAAGAGUAAACAUAAGCUAUUGGGAAGGCAAAGACUUCCGGACAAUGUUAUACAAAGAUUUUUUUAAAGGUAAAACCGUUUUUAAUCACUGGCUGCCUGGGAUAUGUUAUAGUAAUAUCACCUUUCAGCUAGUAUCUGAGGCAACGUUCAACAAAAGCACUCUGGUGGAAUACAGUGGUGUAAGUCAUGAACCCAAACAGCACAGAACAGCUCCUUUCCCACCUCAAAACAUCUCAGUUCGAAUUAUAAGCCUGAACAAGAAUAAUUGGGAAGAAGAGAGUGGAAGUUUCCCAGAGGAAUCAUUCCUGAGGCCACAAGAUCUCAUAGAAAAAGAGAAACUGCUCCAUUUUACAGAUGAUCCUCCUGAAAUUUCUUCAGCCAACACUUCUUCUGGGUGGCCAGAUUUUAACAGUAGUGAUGAGGAAACAACACUCCAGCCAUAUUGGUGGGAUAGUGAAACUGUAACACCAGAAAAUGAAGAUGAAUUUGUCAGUGUUCUUCCCAGGGAAGAUAAAAAUAAUAAUACAGUUAGCCUGAUUGAGAAAUCAACAUCAGCACCUUUAUCUUUUUUUCCUGUGCAAAUGAUAUUGAACUGGUUGCCUCCCAAACCACCUACUGCCUUUGAUGGGUUCCAUAUUCACAUAGAGAGAGAAGAAAACUCUACUGAAUUUCUGACAGUCAACGAGGAAGCACAUGAAUUUGUCACUGAGCUGAAUGAACCUGGAAAAUAUAAAUUAUCUGUGACAACCUUUAGUUCCUCUGGAUCUUGUGAAACACGAGGAAGUCAAUCAGCCAAAACAAUUAGUUUUUACAUCAGUCCUUUAGGAGAAUGGAUUGAAGAAUUAACAGAGAAGCCUCAGCAUGUCCGCGUGAAUGUUUUAAGCUCUACCACUGCCUUAAUGUCUUGGACAUCUUCGCAAGAGAGGGACAACAAUAACACAAUUGUGUCUGUCGUGUCUCUAACCUGCCAGAAACAAAAGGAAAGUCAAAGACUUGAAAAGCAUUAUUGUACUCAGGUUAACUCAAGCAAAAGCAUCAUUGAAAAUCUGGUUCCUGGUGCCCAAUACCAGGUUGUGAUUUACCUAAGAAAAGGUCCUUUGAUUGGACCACCUUCAGAUCCUGUUACGUUUGCCAUAGUUCCCACUGGAAUCAAGGACUUAAUGCUCUACCCUUUGGGUCCGACUGCUGUUGUUCUGAGCUGGACCAGGCCUUACUUAGGGGUGUUCAGGAAGUAUGUGGUAGAAAUGUUUUAUUUCAAUCCUGCAACAAUGAUAUCAGAAUGGACAACCUACUACGAAAUAGCUGCAACUGUUUCCUUAACUGCAUCUGUGAGAAUAGCCAAUCUGUUACCAGCAUGGUACUACAACUUUCGGGUUACCAUGGUGACAUGGGGAGAGCCAGAAUUGAGCUGUUGUGACAGUUCUACUAUAAGCUUCAUAACAGCCCCCGUGGCUCCAGAAAUCACUUCUGUUGAAUAUUUUAACAAUUUGCUGUAUAUAAGUUGGAUGUAUGGGGAUGACACCACUAACCUCUCCCAUUCCAGAAUGAUGCAUUGGAUGGUUGUUGCUGAAGGAAAGAAAAAGAUAAAAAAGAGUGUAACACGAAAUGUAAUGACUGCAGUACUAAACCUACCUCCAGGUGAUGUCUACAAUCUUUCAGUAACUGCCUGCACUGAAAGGGGAAGCAACACCUCUCUGCCUCACCUUGUGAAACUGGAACCAGCUCCUCCAAAAUCCCUUUUUGCAGUGAAUAAGACUCAAACUUCAGUGACUCUGCUAUGGGUAGAAGAGGGAGUUGUUGACUUCUACAAAGUCUUCUGUCAUCAAGCUGGAUCUAAUGAGGAAAUAAAACUCCAGGAGCCAAUUUCAGUUUUUUCUCAUGUUGUGACGAUUUCCAGCCUCCUGCCUGCCACUGUCUACAACUGUAGUGUAACCAGCUUCAGCCACAACAGUGCCAGUGUUCCUACAUUCAUAGCCAUCUCCACAAUGGUUACUGAGAUGAAUCCCAAUGUGGUGGUGAUCUCAGUGCUAGCAAUCCUGAGCACACUCUUGAUUGGACUGCUUCUUGUUACACUCAUCAUUCUCAGGAAAAAGCAUCUGCAGAUGGCCAGAGAGUGUGGGGCUGGAACAUUUGUCAAUUUUGCUUCCUUGGAAAGAGAUGGAAAGCUUCCAUACAACUGGAGUAAAAAUGGACUAAAGAAGAGGAAAUUAACCAAUCCUGUUCAGCUGGAUGACUUUGAUGCCUACAUUAAAGAGAUGGCCAAAGAUUCAGAUUAUAAAUUUUCUCUACAGUUUGAGGAACUGAAGUUAAUUGGGUUGGAUAUUCCACAUUUUGCUGCUGAUCUUCCACUGAAUAGAUGUAAAAACCGUUACACAAAUAUUCUCCCAUAUGACUUUAGUCGUGUCAGACUAGUCUCCAUGAAUGAAGAAGAAGGUGCAGAUUACAUCAAUGCCAACUAUAUUCCUGGAUAUAACUCACCCCAGGAGUACAUUGCCACACAGGGACCUCUCCCAGAAACCAGAAAUGAUUUUUGGAAGAUGGUUCUCCAGCAGAAGUCACAGAUUAUUGUUAUGCUUACUCAGUGCAAUGAGAAAAGGAGGGUAAGUAUAUAUUGGAGUGGUUUGCCGUUUCCUUCUCCAGCAUAUGCAUAUAUAGAUGUGUGCAUAUUGUUAUAUAUUAUAAAUGCUGAUGAGGUGCAAGAUGUCAUGCAUUUUAACUACACUGCCUGGCCUGACCAUGGUGUGCCCACUACAAAUGCUGCAGAAAGCAUCAUGCAAUUUGUACAGAUGGUCCGACAGCAAUCCACAAAGACCAGAGGCCCCAUGAUCAUACACUGCAGUGCUGGUGUGGGACGGACAGGGACAUUCAUAGCCCUUGAUCGACUCUUACAACAUGUUUGUGAUCAUGAAUAUGUUGACAUUUUGGGUCUGGUGUCAGAUAUGAGGUCAUACAGGAUGUCCAUGGUGCAGACAGAGGAACAAUACAUUUUUAUCCAUCAGUGCGUACAAUUGAUGUGGAUGAAGAAAAAGAGACAGUUCUGCAUCAGUGAUGUGAUAUAUGAGAAUGUUAGCAAGUCCUAGUUCAGGAUACUAAGCAGGAGAACAUGAAGUAUACCUACCUUCCCUUGCUUCAGAAUUAUUGGGGGCGGGAAGAAUCUACUAGCCAUUUUGCCAAGGAAGGCCCCUGCUUUGCAGUAUGUGGCCAAUAAAGAAGAUAUAUUUUAUCUUGUAGAAACA
This 3849-nucleotide long non-coding RNA is filed under the name Monodelphis domestica (gray short-tailed opossum). RNAcentral's name for it is "lncRNA (ENSMODG00000017933.4)". Lineage: Eukaryota; Metazoa; Chordata; Mammalia; Didelphimorphia; Didelphidae. The record is from RNAcentral.